This 802-nucleotide ribosomal RNA is filed under the name uncultured bacterium. RNAcentral's name for it is "bacterial SSU rRNA". It matches the Rfam family "Bacterial small subunit ribosomal RNA", at positions 8 to 815 of the family's 1533-position model. The record is from RNAcentral.
AGAGUUUGAUCCUGGCUCAGGACGAACGUUGGCGGCGUGUCUAAGGCAUGCAAGUCGAGCGGAUACCAUUUUUUAGCAAUAUUAGAUGGUGUUAGCGGCAAACGGGUGCGUAACACAUUGGUAAUCUACCCCCCAGUCGGGCACAACUCGCCGAAAGGCGAGCUAAUUCCACGAUGGGCAUGCGGGGACAUAUGUCAUUCGCAUGUAAAGCGCAAAACGCGCUGGGGGAGGAGCCUAUGGCCCAUCAGCUUGUUGGCGGGGUAAAAGCCCACCAAGGCUACGACGGGUAGGGGGUGUGAGAGCAUGACCCCCCUCACUGGGACUGGGACACUGCCCAGACACCUACGGGUGGCUGCAGUUAAGAAUAUUCCUCAAUGGCCGAAAGGCUGAAGGAGCGACGCCGCGUGCAGGAUGAAGGGCUUUGGCUCGUAAAUUGCUUUUAUUUGGGAAGAAUUCUGACGGUACCAAAUGAAUAAGAGGUUGCUAACUCUGUGCCAGCAGCAGCGGUAAUACAGAGACCUCAAACGUUGUCCGGAUUUAUUGGGCGUAAAGGGUCCGCAGGUGGCCAUGCACGUCGAGGGUUAAAUGUUAGGGCUCAACUCUAACACCGCUCUCGAUACGGCGUGGCUAGAGGCUGGGAGAGGCAUACGGAAUUGCCGGUGUAGUAGUAAUAUGCGUUAAUAUCGGCAAGAACACCAAAAGCGAAGGCAGUAUGCUGGAACAGUUCUGACACUCAGGGACGAAAGCGUGGGGAGCGAAAGGGAUUAGAUACCCCUGUAGUCCACGCCCUAAACGAUGGAUG